This 505-nucleotide ribosomal RNA is filed under the name uncultured bacterium. RNAcentral's name for it is "bacterial SSU rRNA". It matches the Rfam family "Bacterial small subunit ribosomal RNA", at positions 30 to 507 of the family's 1533-position model. The record is from RNAcentral.
AUUGAACGCUGGCGGCAUGCCUAACACAUGCAAGUCGAACGGUAACAGACCGCUGGGAUCCCUUCGGGGUGACCUUGGUGCUGACGAGUGGCGGACGGGUGAGUAACACUUGGGAAUCUGCCCAGUAGUGGGGGACAACCCGGGGAAACCCGGGCUAAUACCGCAUACGCCCUACGGGGGAAAGGGGGCCUCUUCUUGAAAGCUCUCGCUAUUGGAUGAGCCCAAGUCGGAUUAGCUUGUUGGUGAGGUAAAAGCUCACCAAGGCGACGAUCCGUAGCUGGUCUGAGAGGACGAUCAGCCACACUGGGACUGAGACACGGCCCAGACUCCUACGGGAGGCAGCAGUGGGGAAUAUUGGACAAUGGGCGAAAGCCUGAUCCAGCAAUGCCGCGUGUGUGAAGAAGGCCUGCGGGUUGUAAAGCACUUUCAGUGGAGAAGAAAAGCCGGACGCUAAUACCGACCGGUCUUGACGUAACCUACAGAAGAAGCACCGGCUAACUCCGUG